This 85-nucleotide transfer RNA is filed under the name Felis catus (domestic cat). It matches the Rfam family "tRNA". Rfam says of the family: Transfer RNA (tRNA) molecules are approximately 80 nucleotides in length. Their secondary structure includes four short double-helical elements and three loops (D, anti-codon, and T loops). The record is from Rfam by way of RNAcentral. Lineage: Eukaryota; Metazoa; Chordata; Mammalia; Carnivora; Felidae.
ACCUGGGUGGCUCAGUCGGUUAAGCGUCCGACUUCGGCUCGGGUCAUGAUCACAUAGUUCGUGGGUUCGAGCCCCACAUCAGGCU